GAUGAACGCUGGCGGCGUGCCUAAUACAUGCAAGUCGAGCGAACAGACGAGGAGCUUGCUCCUCUGACGUUAGCGGCGGACGGGUGAGUAACACGUGGAUAACCUACCUAUAAGACUGGGAUAACUUCGGGAAACCGGAGCUAAUACCGGAUAAUAUAUUGAACCGCAUGGUUCAAUAGUGAAAGACGGUUUUGCUGUCACUUAUAGAUGGAUCCGCGCCGCAUUAGCUAGUUGGUAAGGUAACGGCUUACCAAGGCAACGAUGCGUAGCCGACCUGAGAGGGUGAUCGGCCACACUGGAACUGAGACACGGUCCAGACUCCUACGGGAGGCAGCAGUAGGGAAUCUUCCGCAAUGGGCGAAAGCCUGACGGAGCAACGCCGCGUGAGUGAUGAGGGUCUUCGGAUCGUAAAACUCUGCUAUUAGGGAAGAACAAAUGUGUAAGUAACUAUGCACGUCUUGACGGUACCUAAUCAGAAAGCCACGGCUAACUACGUG
RNAcentral lists this ribosomal RNA (497 nucleotides) under uncultured bacterium. RNAcentral's name for it is "partial 16S ribosomal RNA". It matches the Rfam family "Bacterial small subunit ribosomal RNA", at positions 28 to 507 of the family's 1533-position model. The record is from RNAcentral.